Molecule: ribosomal RNA, 292 nt
Filed under: uncultured bacterium
Lineage: Bacteria
Description: partial 16S ribosomal RNA
Rfam family: Bacterial small subunit ribosomal RNA
Source: RNAcentral
GUGCCAGCAGCCGCGGUAAUACGAAGGGUGCUAGCGUUGUUCGGAAUCAUUGGGCGUAAAGCGUGCGUAGGCGGUUUGGUAAGUCGGCUGUGAAAGCCCAGAGCUUAACUUUGGAAUUGCAGUCGAAACUGUCAGGCUUGAGUAUGGUGGGGGAUAGUGGAAUUCCUAGUGUAGGGGUGAAAUCCGUAGAUAUUAGGAGGAACACCGGUGGCGAAAGCGACUAUCUACGCCAUUACUGACGCUGAGGCACGAAAGUGUGGGGAGCAAACAGGAUUAGAUACCCUGGUAGUCC